GGAAUCUAUGCUGGAUGUCUGAGCGGGGUCAGAAGCUGAAGAGAAUGCCCCCCGAACCUGCAGAAGAACAUUCCGAAGAGUGGCAGCUCCAUUUCUGUUUUCCCAGUCAAAAUGUGUCCAUCAGGAGACUUUGCUAAAGAAGUUUGGAGAGGAAAGGCAUUUGUCCUCCUUGUCCUUUUCUCCCUCCUUCGCACGGGGUGGCUUCAUCACCUAGCGCUUUGGUGUUGUAUCUGCCCAGCUUCUGAGCUAACCACCACCCUUGCCCCCCUCCUCUCUCUUUCACAGGGGUGAGUACCUAGCAAUCAUGUUUGUACUCAACUACCUUAACUGAUGCGGGAGUCGGGGGGUGUACCUGACCCAAGCUGUACCUGGCUAAUCAGAUUCUCUCCCAGAGGUUCAGAAAUGAUUCUUCUCAUGGGUCUGACCCUAGCAAGCUCAAAAGUAGGGGGGUGGCUGUGUUCUGCCAAAGUGACUGAGGAAUAGACAGGGCAGGACUGCAGAGAAGCAAAAUGAAGGAGAUGCCCCAAAGGGGCAGAGGGACAGUUCUCUGCUUUGCUACUUUUUUUUUUUUCUUUUUUCUUUAUUUGAGACAGAGUUUCACUCCUGUUGCCCAGGCUGGAGUGCAAUGGUGCGAUCUCGGCUCACCACAACCCCUGCCUCCUGGGAUCAAGCAAUUCUCCUGCCUCAGCCUCCUGAGUAGCAUUCACCACCAUGCCUGGCUAAUUUUGUAUUUUUAGUAGAGACGGAGUGGUCUCGAACUCCCGACCUCAGGUGAUCCGCCCGCCUUGGCCUCCCAAAGUGCUGGGAUUACAGGUGUGAGCCACCACCCCUGUCUGCUUUACUACUUAGGAUUCCAGGCUCUUCCUGGUCUCUAGGGCCUGAGGCCUCCAUGAGAACCCUGGAGUGUGGUCGGCGUGCCCACAUCCUAAUCCCCAGAACCUAUGAAUACAUUAGGUUACAUGGCAAAGGGGAAUUGAGGUUUCUAAUCAGCUGACAUUAAAAUAGGUAGAUUAUCCUGCGUCAUCCAAGUGGGCCCAAUGUCAUUGCUGAGAUCUUUAAAAAUGGAAGGUCGAGGUGGAGAGAAUCAGAGUUGGAAAGAUGCUACGGCACUAACUUAAAGAUGGAGGAAGGAGCUAUGAGCCAAGAAAUUUGGGUAGAAAAGGCAAGGAAACAUUCUCUCCUACAGUGUGUCCCGGAAAGUGCACAGCCCUGUAGACACCUUGAUUCGAGCCCAGUGAGACCCGUCUUGAGAGUCGGAAUGAGAGAAUUGUAGAUGAAAAUGUGUUGCUCUAAGUCACUGUGCGUGUGGUAAUUUCUUACAGCAGCAAUAGGAAACCAACACACCAAGUAACCCAGUCCUUGCAACUCAAGAAUCCUAAUAUGGGCCACUUGAAUCCUUCUAACCUUGGCUUGAGGAUAACACUUCGUGUCUCAGAAGGCUCUUUAUAAAUGACAUACUUUCACUCAUCGGCUUAAUGGUAAACCUUGGUUUAGCAUUGUUGUAGGCAAUAUCAAAGAUCAGAGGCCACACUGGCUUUUAGGCAGCUCCCAUCUACUAGAGUUCAGGACAUCCACAGAAGUGGAACUGUUUUGUUUGUUUGUUUUUGAGAUGGAGUUUUGCUCUUGUUGCCCAGGCUGGAGUGCAAUGGUGCGGUCUCGGCUCACUGCAACCUCUGCCUCCCAGGU
Molecule: long non-coding RNA, 1686 nt
Filed under: Homo sapiens (human)
Lineage: Eukaryota; Metazoa; Chordata; Mammalia; Primates; Hominidae
Description: HSALNT0142984
Source: RNAcentral